This 1482-nucleotide ribosomal RNA is filed under the name human gut metagenome. RNAcentral's name for it is "bacterial LSU rRNA". It matches the Rfam family "Bacterial large subunit ribosomal RNA", at positions 440 to 2012 of the family's 2925-position model. The record is from RNAcentral.
GAUGGGGGGACCAUCCUCCAAGCCUAAAUACUACCUGAUGACCGAUAGCGAAUAGUACUGUGAAGGAAAGGUGAAAAGCACCCCGGGAGGGGAGUGAAAGAGAACCUGAAACCCUGUGCUUACAAGCACUUAGAGCACGUCAAAGUGUGAUAAGGUACCUAUUGUAGAAUGGUCCGGCGAGUUAUUGUAUGCAGCGAGGUUAAGUAGUUCAGCUACGGAGCCGAAGUGAGAGCGAGUGUUAACAGCACGUUCAGUUGCAUGCAAUAGACCCGAAACCGGGUGACCUAUCCAUGUCCAGGAUGAAGUGAGGGUAAAACCUCAUGGAGGUCCGAACCCACUCCCGUUGAAAUGGUAGGGGAUGAGGUGUGGAUAGCGGAGAAAUUCCAAUCGAACCCGGAUAUAGCUGGUUCUCCCCGAAAUAGUUUUAGGACUAGCCUCGUGAUCAAGAUUAUCGGAGGUAAAGCACUGAAUGGCCUAGGGGUCGAGAGAUUACCGAAGCCUAUCAAACUCUGAAUGCCGAAUAAUCAUGCACGGGAGUCAGACUGUGUGAGAUAAGUUUCAUAGUCGAAAGGGAAACAGCCCAGACCUACAGCUAAGGUCCCAAAGUACGUUUAAGUGGAAAACGAUGUGAAAUUGCGUAGACAACCAGGAUGUUGGCUUAGAAGCAGCCAUACAUUAAAAGAGUGCGUAAUAGCUCACUGGUCGAGUGACUUUGCGCGGAAAAUUUAACGGGGCUAAAACGUACACCGAAGCUUAGGCUUGCAACUAUGUUGCAGGGGUAGGGGAGCGUUGAAUGAGGGGUGAAGUCGUAGCGAAAGCGACGGUGGACUUCAUUCAAGUGAGAAUGCCGGAAUGAGUAGCGAGAAUUAUGUGAGAAUCAUAAUGGCCGAAAGCCUAAGGUUUUUGGAGGAAGGUUCGUCCGCUCCAAGUAAGUCGGAAGCUAAGGUGAGGCUGAAAAGCGUAGCCGAUGCACAAACGGUUGAAAUUCCGUUACCACAGAAAGAUUUAAACUAAGGGACACUUUUGAAGAGCUGAUGCCGGGUGUUGGUUACCCCGGUCGUAAGGGAACGAAAUUAAGUAGUGAAGUCAGCGUGGAUGAAGGCGAGAAAAGCUUAGUGUAUAUCUUAUGUGUCCGUACCGCAAACCGACACAGGUAGGUAGGAAGAGAAUUCUAAGGCCAACGGGAGAAGGGUAGUUAAGGAACUCGGCAAAAUGUCCCCGUAACUUCGGAAUAAGGGGAGGUUUCUACGGAAACCCGCAGAGAAUAGUCCCAGGCAACUGUUUAUCAAAAACACAGCUCUAUGCUAAAUCGAAAGAUGACGUAUAUGGGGUGACGCCUGCCCGGUGCCGGAAGGUUAAGAGGAGGAGUGAGAGCCCUGAAUCGAAGCCCCGGUAAACGGCGGCCGUAACUAUAACGGUCCUAAGGUAGCGAAAUUCCUUGUCAGGUAAGUUCUGACCCGCACGAAUGGCGUAAUGAUCUGG